RNAcentral lists this ribosomal RNA (301 nucleotides) under uncultured bacterium. Its description in RNAcentral is "partial 16S ribosomal RNA". It matches the Rfam family "Bacterial small subunit ribosomal RNA", at positions 509 to 807 of the family's 1533-position model. The record is from RNAcentral.
CAGUAGCCGCGGUAAUACAGAGGGUGCAAGCGUUAAUCGGAUUUACUGGGCGUAAAGCGUGCGUAGGCGGCUUCUUAAGUCGGAUGUGAAAUCCCUGAGCUUAACUUAGGAAUUGCAUUCGAUACUGGGAAGCUAGAGUAUGGGAGAGGAUGGUAGAAUUCCAGGUGUAGCGGUGAAAUGCGUAGAGAUCUGGAGGAAUACCGAUGGCGAAGGCAGCCAUCUGGCCUAAUACUGACGCUGAGGUACGAAAGCAUGGGGAGCAAACAGGAUUAGAUACCCCCGUAGUCCCUGUCUCUUAUAC